GAGGCUUAGGUGUUAGUGGCAGCACUUCCGGCUCUUAACCGGAGUGUGAGGGUUCGAGCCCCUCAGGCCUCA
This 72-nucleotide transfer RNA is filed under the name Gemmataceae bacterium. RNAcentral's name for it is "tRNA-Lys". It matches the Rfam family "tRNA". Rfam says of the family: Transfer RNA (tRNA) molecules are approximately 80 nucleotides in length. The record is from RNAcentral. RNAcentral also lists the same sequence under 1 other name. Lineage: Bacteria; Pseudomonadati; Planctomycetota; Planctomycetia; Gemmatales; Gemmataceae.